Molecule: small RNA, 127 nt
Filed under: Marmota monax (woodchuck)
Lineage: Eukaryota; Metazoa; Chordata; Mammalia; Rodentia; Sciuridae
Source: RNAcentral
GCUGGGUGUGGUGGCGCACACCUGUAAUCCCUGCAUCUCUGGAAGCUGAAGUAGGAGGAUUGCAAGUUCAUAGACAGUCUCAGCAAUUUAGAGAGGCCAUAAGCUACUCAGGGAGACCCUGUCUCUA